This 301-nucleotide ribosomal RNA is filed under the name uncultured bacterium. Its description in RNAcentral is "partial 16S ribosomal RNA". It matches the Rfam family "Bacterial small subunit ribosomal RNA", at positions 509 to 809 of the family's 1533-position model. The record is from RNAcentral.
CAGCAGCCACGGUAAUACGAAGGGUGCAAGCGUUAAUCGGAAUUACUGGGCGUAAAGCGUGCGUAGGCGGUGAGUUAAGUCUGCUGUGAAAUCCCCGGGCUCAACCUGGGAAUGGCAGUGGAUACUGGCUCGCUAGAGUGUGUCAGAGGAUGGUGGAAUUCCCGGUGUAGCGGUGAAAUGCGUAGAGAUCGGGAGGAAUACCGAUGGCGAAGGCAGCCCCCUGGGCCAAUACUGACGCUCAUGCACGAAAGCGUGGGGAGCAAACAGGAUUAGAUACCCGAGUAGUCCCUGUCUCUUAUAA